CCAGACAACCAAAGCCCUUUCUGUCAACAGUGAUUUUGCUGUGCAAAAGGAAUGCAAAUAACACGUACAACCACAUUCUGCUACAACACUUGCAGCUUAUUAUUGCAAUCCUUUCUUACUCCAUCCAUGUAGUUAUACAGUUAAGGUUUCUGUACAAUCCCUCAUUUUUUAUUUACCGUUGUCCAAUUGCAAUAUAAACACUACAAUAAGUAGUUUGUCUUUGUUUUUUUGCUUUUCA
Pelobates cultripes (western spadefoot toad) is the source of this 238-nucleotide non-coding RNA. The record is from the annotation of a GenBank genome assembly. NCBI's taxonomy places the organism in Eukaryota, Metazoa, Chordata, Amphibia, Anura, Pelobatidae.